CUAGCAUAUGAAAGGGGAGCAGCUUAGCACCCCCCUUGGCGAGGGUGGAGAGGCCCUCGGGUUGACACAACAUGUACAUGGUUAAGGCAUUGCCACACAUUUCGUGUCAUGCAGCCAUUUUCUUUU
Molecule: small nuclear RNA, 126 nt
Organism: Molossus molossus (Pallas's mastiff bat)
Lineage: Eukaryota; Metazoa; Chordata; Mammalia; Chiroptera; Molossidae
Source: RefSeq, a predicted model, not a curated record